AGAAUGCAGAGAGUUCUAGAAUUCAAACUAUUCCUGCAGCAGACUAUGCGAAUUUUAUGACCUAUGAGGAAGAUAAGCAGGCCAAGGUCCCGAUUCUAAUUCUGAAGGAGCACAGGACAAGGUUUAGGAAACAUGGAUAUUGGUGGAUCUUGCAGAGUUCGGUACCUCCAGGACUUUGAAUUCACUGUACAGAUCCUUGGCACUCCUGACACUUGCUGCAGAGCAGUUCCGUGUGGCAGCGCUGAGAAAUUGAACCUCUGCACCGGUCUCUGGCUUUACAGGUUUGAAAACUCACGCAGAGAAGUUCUGCAGAUUACAGUCUCUACUUUCCCCCUUGGAGGGUGGGGGAUUCUUAAAUAUUCCUGUUACAGACCUACCGGGUGUCCGCAGGCUUUGCCCUGGGAAGCAGCUCCCGUGGGGAGGAGGGUGUGAACAGCGCGAGCAGAGCUGAGGCCCCGGGCCCAGCCGUGCCCGGCAGUGCAGGGCGAUUCCUGCCGGGGAAACGCCGCCUCCCGGGAGCAGCCGACGGGAAUCACUUACAGCGAGGCGGGGGAGCUCGGAGCGCCGAGCGCGGGCUGCGGGAGCGCGGAGCGCAGGGCGCGGAGUGCGGAGUGCAGGAAGGUCGAGCGCGGCAUGCGGAGAGCGGGAUCAGGAGCGUGGG
This is a long non-coding RNA of Motacilla alba alba, 661 nucleotides long. RefSeq lists it as uncharacterized. The transcript has 3 exons. Lineage: Eukaryota; Metazoa; Chordata; Aves; Passeriformes; Motacillidae. The record is from RefSeq and is a predicted model, not a curated record.